CAGGAUGUGGCCCAGAAGGUAAUUGACAGCAUGCCAUCAGUCAGGAUGUGGCCCAGAAGUUAAUUGACAGCAUGCCAUCAGUCAGGAUGUGGCCCAGAAGGUAAUUGACAGCAUGCCAUCAGUCAGGAUGUGGCCCAGAAGUUAAUUGACAGCAUGCCAUCAGUCAGGAUGUGGCCCAGAAGUUAAUUGACAGCAUGCCAUCAGUCAGGAUGUGGCCCAGAAGUUAAUUGACAGCAUGCCAUCAGUCAGGAUGUGGCCCAGAAGGUAAUUGACAGCAUGCCAUCAGUCAGGAUGUGGCCCAGAAGUUAAUUGACAGCAUGCCAUCAGUCAGGAUGUGGCCCAGAAGUUAAUUGACAGCAUGCCAUCAGUCAGGAUGUGGCCCAGAAGUUAAUUGACAGCAUGCCAUCAGUCAGGAUGUGGCCCAGAAGUUAAUUGACAGCAUGCCAUCAGUCAGGAUGUGGCCCAGAAGUUAAUUGACAGCAUGCCAUCAGUCAGGAUGUGGCCCAGAAGUUAAUUGACAGCAUGCCAUCAGUCAGGAUGUGGCCCAGAAGGUAAUUGACAGCAUGCCAUCAGUCAGGAUGUGGCCCAGAAGUUAAUUGACAGCAUGCCAUCAGUCAGGAUGUGGCCCAGAAGGUAAUUGACAGCAUGCCAUCAGUCAGGAUGUGGCCCAGAAGUUAAUUGACAGCAUGCCAUCAGUCAGGAUGUGGCCCAGAAGUUAAUUGACAGCAUGCCAUCAGUCAGGAUGUGGCCCAGAAGUUAAUUGACAGCAUGCCAUCAGUCAGGAUGUGGCCCAGAAGUUAAUUGACAGCAUGCCAUCAGUCAGGAUGUGGCCCAGAAGUUAAUUGACAGCAUGCCAUCAGUCAGGAUGUGGCC
Molecule: long non-coding RNA, 873 nt
Organism: Oncorhynchus keta (chum salmon)
Lineage: Eukaryota; Metazoa; Chordata; Actinopteri; Salmoniformes; Salmonidae
Exons: 5
Source: RefSeq, a predicted model, not a curated record